UAUGUUUUAGUGUAAAGGCACGCAAAGUUUUGAUCUUUGAGGGGAUGGUGUGAUUCCAUUAAAUAUAA
This 68-nucleotide transfer RNA is filed under the name Macrobrachium sp. RNAcentral describes it as "tRNA-Gln". The record is from RNAcentral. Lineage: Eukaryota; Metazoa; Arthropoda; Malacostraca; Decapoda; Palaemonidae.